AAUGAACGCUGGCGGCGUGCUUAACACAUGCAAGUCGUGCGCGAAGGCGGCUUCGGCUGCCGGAGAGCGGCGAACGGGUGAGUAACACGUGGGUGAUCUGCCUGGGAGCGGGGGAUAACCUGGGGAAACUCGGGCUAACACCGCAUACGUUGGCGGGUUUACGGACUCGCCAAGAAAACUGGCCUCUGCUUGCAAGCUAGUGCUCCCAGAGGAGCCCGCGGCUGAUUAGCUAGUUGGUGAGGUAAUGGCCCACCAAGGCUUCGAUCAGUAGCCGGCCUGAGAGGGUGAUCGGCCACACUGGGACUGAGACACGGCCCAGACUCCUACGGGAGGCAGCAGUGGGGAAUAUUGGACAAUGGGCGCAAGCCUGAUCCAGCAACGCCGCGU
Molecule: ribosomal RNA, 387 nt
Filed under: uncultured bacterium
Lineage: Bacteria
Description: bacterial SSU rRNA
Rfam family: Bacterial small subunit ribosomal RNA
Source: RNAcentral